Chenopodium quinoa (quinoa) is the source of this 437-nucleotide long non-coding RNA. RefSeq lists it as uncharacterized. The transcript is spliced from 3 exons. NCBI's taxonomy places the organism in Eukaryota, Viridiplantae, Streptophyta, Magnoliopsida, Caryophyllales, Amaranthaceae. The record is from RefSeq and is a predicted model, not a curated record.
UGGAGAGCAACGAUGGUGAGUUUUGAUUUGUAAUUGAUGGCGGUGGUGGAGAGUUGUUGAGCUAAUGUCGCUCAAACUCCAGCUUCGUGCCCUGAUCUUUGAGAACAUCAUCAUCGUCCGUGGUAGUUGGUGAGAGUGAUUUGCUAAUUGUUGGACCUGGUGUUCUUGGUCGCUUGGUAGCUCAACAAUGGAGUCAGGUUAAUUUCUUUCGUUUGGGAUUCUCGCCUUUAUGUUCUUGCCAGGUUCCUUCUUUUAUCUUUAAUUUCUGAUUUGGUUUGAUUAUUGGAAAAUUGGUUGAUUUUUAACUUGCAAAUAAGUGUGCUUUUGGUUGUUUUGUUGGUUAUGGUAAUGCAAAUGUUAUGGUAUAGGUAAUGACAAUAGAUUACUAUAGUUGGUGUUAUAAUGUCUAGUAACUGGUGCUUAUUAAACUUCUGUCC